RNAcentral lists this ribosomal RNA (253 nucleotides) under uncultured bacterium. RNAcentral describes it as "partial 16S ribosomal RNA". It matches the Rfam family "Bacterial small subunit ribosomal RNA", at positions 524 to 776 of the family's 1533-position model. The record is from RNAcentral.
UACGUAGGUGGCAAGCGUUGUUCGGAAUUAUUGGGCGUAAAGGGUGAGUAGGCGGUUUGUUAAGUCGGUUGUGAAAGCCCGGGGCUCAACCCCGGAGGGUCGACCGAUACUGGCAGACUAGAGUACAGAAGAGGUAACUGGAAUUCCCGGUGUAGCGGUGAAAUGCGCAGAUAUCAGGAGGAACACCGAUGGCGAAGGCAGGUCUCUGGGCCACUACUGACGCUGAGAAGCGAAAGCGUGGGUAGCAAACAGG